ACUCCUACGGGAGGCAGCAGUGGGGAAUAUUGCACAAUGGGCGCAAGCCUGAUGCAGCCAUGCCGCGUGUGUGAAGAAGGCCUUCGGGUUGUAAAGCACUUUCAGUUGUGAGGAAAGGUUUAGUCCUAAUAUCGGCUAGCUGUGACGUUUAGCAACAGAAGAAGCACCGGCUAACUCCGUGCCAGCAGCCGCGGUAAUACGGAGGGUGCGAGCGUUAAUCGGAAUUACUGGGCGUAAAGCGCGUGUAGGUGGCUUGUUAAGCCAGAUGUGAAAGCCCCGGGCUCAACCUGGGG
This 293-nucleotide ribosomal RNA is filed under the name uncultured bacterium. RNAcentral describes it as "partial 16S ribosomal RNA". It matches the Rfam family "Bacterial small subunit ribosomal RNA", at positions 335 to 619 of the family's 1533-position model. The record is from RNAcentral.